ACUGCUCAGUAACACGUGGCCAACCUACCCUGAGGUCGGGGAUAAACCCGGGAAACUGGGUAUAAUACCCGAUAGAUCUAGAUUGCUGGAAUGCUUUUAGGUCUAAAGUUCCGGCGCCUCAGGAUGGGUCUGCGGCCUAUCAGGGUAGUAGUGGGUGUAAAGUACCUACUAGCCUACGACGGGUACGGGUUGUGAGAGCAAGAGCCCGGAGAUGGAUUCUGAGACACGAAUCCAGGCCCUACGGGGUGCAGCAGGCGCGAAACCUUUACAAUGCUGGCAACAGCGAUAAGGGGACCUCGAGUGCUACGAUACAAUCGUGGCUGUCUAGUUGCCUAAAAAGCAAUUGAUAGCAAGGGCCGGGCAAGACCGGUGCCAGCCGCCGCGGUAACACCGGCGGCUCGAGUGGUAACCGCUAUUAUUGGGUCUAAAGGGUCUGUAGCCGGCUUAGUUAGUCUCUUGAGAAAUCUGGCCGCUCAACGGUCAGGCGUUCAGGGGAUACUGCUAAAGCUCGAGACCGGGAGAGGUGAGAGGUACUUCAGGGGUAGGGGUGAAAUCUUGUAAUCCUUGAAGGACCACCAGUGGCGAAGGCGUCUCACCAGAACGGAUCUGACGGCAAGGGACGAAAGCUAGGGGCACGAACCGGAUUAGAUACCCGGGUAGUCCUAGCCGUAAACGAUACUCGCUAGGUGUCGGCCACGGUGCGACCGUGGUCGGUGCCGUAGGGAAGCCGUGAAGCGAGCCACCUGGGAAGUACGGCCGCAAGGCUGAAACUUAAAGGAAUUGGCGGGGGAGCAC
This 795-nucleotide ribosomal RNA is filed under the name uncultured archaeon. RNAcentral's name for it is "bacterial SSU rRNA". It matches the Rfam family "Archaeal small subunit ribosomal RNA", at positions 85 to 879 of the family's 1478-position model. The record is from RNAcentral.